RNAcentral lists this long non-coding RNA (457 nucleotides) under Homo sapiens (human). Its description in RNAcentral is "HSALNT0339694". Lineage: Eukaryota; Metazoa; Chordata; Mammalia; Primates; Hominidae. The record is from RNAcentral.
UGGUCCUCUACUUACAACAUAAUCACGUUUGUUAUGUGACAGCGAUUCGACUGCACGGUUCACAGGGAGGUUUGUCAGUCUCGUCGAGGGCUUUCCAACAAGCAACUUGGAAAUGAGCGACGGUAUAAUGAUGUCACCAUCCAUUUAUCCUCUGCACUUAAAGGUUGAAGCUCUUCAACAAAUCUCUCCUCAGCCAAAUACAUCUGGUACCUUAAUGGAGGCGACAGCACAGGCUUCUGAUUAGUUCACACAUCACUCACCAAUUAGAAUAGAAGGUCAAGCUAGACCCAGCAAAUGAGUCUGCAGGGACCAGAAAAACUCCAGGGAUAUGCCUUUGAUUUUUCCAGUCAUGAAAUCUGCAGUCUGAAAGCAGUCUUAGAACAGGACAGACCCUACCCCAACAUUUGCAUUACACUCUCUUGUACUAAAGACAAUUGCAAUAUAAAAAUAAACCCUA